Molecule: long non-coding RNA, 934 nt
Filed under: Sarcophilus harrisii (Tasmanian devil)
Lineage: Eukaryota; Metazoa; Chordata; Mammalia; Dasyuromorphia; Dasyuridae
Description: lncRNA (ENSSHAG00000022946.1)
Source: RNAcentral
AGAAUAACCCAAGGCACCAGAGACCACCAGUUUAAGACAGACCACAGAACAUAGCCACACUCUGGGAUAUCUCCCCUGGUUGCCAAGGUAGGCAGUGUCACAAAUAUCUGGAAAUGGACCAGAAAGUCUGAUGACUUGAAAGAGGACUCCCUGGGAUGUCCAUGGCGUCUGCUAGAUCAAUACCACAUCAAGCCUAUGAACAAAUUUUAGUAUUAGGACUCACAAAUAUAUGGAAUGUAACAAAUUUCCAGCAGAGAAAAUUUUGGAAGAACUUUAUAAAAGAUAUAAUGAAGACUAUCAGACCAUGGGGCUUCAUUUUCUCACUUUUUUCAGUUUCCUUCUUCUUCCAGAUGCUCACAUUGACCUCAGGUGAGGAAGAGAUGAUGUCAAUGGAUCCCCAGGUGGGAGAGAUUAUGAGGAACGUCAUUAGCUUCUGGAUGGUAUCACAAGUAUUUAGUACAUCUGUAUUCCCUCACUGAUGAAUAUAUUAAGAAACAUGCCUUUCUAUGGAAGAUAAAUGGAAUCCUGGCAGUGACAAGCUCACUGGAAGUGGGUGUUUGUAUUUGUUAUUUGUGGACAAGACACAGUUGCUCAGGGUUUAUUUUCAAGGAAGAAUGGAUGAACUGGUUUGUUUGGAGUGUCAUGAUGAUCUUCCUCAUACUCUUAGGAAUAAUAACUUUGAAAGGUGGAUAUGGGUAUACUUUCUUUUUUAUACUGAUAUUUUCACUGGAUUUCAACAACAUUGAGAGCAUCGUCUUUGUACUUCCUACGAUACGGAUAGUUCUUUCUUUUCUUUUGUCUGAAACAUAAUUUAAUAAGAAAACUGCAGUAAAAUUCUCUUCUUCAAACUCUAAAGGAGUUUCUGAUUUAAUUUCAAUAAUCAAUAGAAUAACAGCUAGAUUCCACAAUGGUUGUAUCAGUACCCAAAUAUUCU